GAUGAACGCUGGCGGCGUGCCUAAUACAUGCAAGUCGAGCGAACAGACGAGGAGCUUGCUCCUCUGACGUUAGCGGCGGACGGGUGAGUAACACGUGGAUAACCUACCUAUAAGACUGGGAUAACUUCGGGAAACCGGAGCUAAUACCGGAUAAUAUAUUGAACCGCAUGGUUCAAUAGUGAAAGACGGCUUUGCUGUCACUUAUAGAUGGAUCCGCGCCGCAUUGGCUAGUUGGUAAGGUAACGGCUUACCAAGGCACCGAUGCGUAGCCGACCUGAGGGGGGGUCCGCCAACAUUGAACUGGGACAACGUCCCAGAUCCCAAGGGAGGGAGGAGGGAGGAAUAUUGGAGCAUGGGGGGAAGGCUGAUCCAACCAUCGCGGGGGGGGUAAGGAAGCCUUCGGGUUGUAAAACCCUUUUUUUGGGAAAAAAAAGAAGGUGUAUGUUACCACGCUGGUCUGAAGGUACCCAAAGAAGAAACACCGGCUAACUUCGUU
RNAcentral lists this ribosomal RNA (496 nucleotides) under uncultured bacterium. Its description in RNAcentral is "partial 16S ribosomal RNA". It matches the Rfam family "Bacterial small subunit ribosomal RNA", at positions 28 to 507 of the family's 1533-position model. The record is from RNAcentral.